AAUUUUCAAAAAAUUUUAAAUAAAGCUCGAAAAAUCCAGAACAAUUAUAAGUUAUUCCACAAUUUUCAAUCAACAAAAAUGACCAAUUUUCAUCCCGAACAACUUCAAAUAAAAAUUCAUAAAUAAAUUUUGAAAAAAAAUCAAUUUCAAGGAUACUCAAUUUGGCAAAAUUGUUGACCCGAAAAUCAAUGACAAUUCUAGAUACAUAUAAAAUAAAAUUCUACACAUCAUGUAAGACCUAGGAAUUAAUUGUAUCGAUUUAUCAUCAUAUUUGUUAAAGAAAAUGUAUAAAUAAUUCUCAGAAUCGUGAAAUUAAGAUAAUAUUUUCAAAUUGAGUUAUGCACAAUAUUCAAGACAGGAGUGGCUCUUUGAGCAUCUUUUUAUUAACAUUCCACCUUAUAUCACCUACAUGAUGUAAAGCUCUUUGAGCAAUUUCCUUUCUAUCUCUGAAAAGUACUUCCCUUUUGUUUCAU
Molecule: long non-coding RNA, 473 nt
Filed under: Ananas comosus (pineapple)
Lineage: Eukaryota; Viridiplantae; Streptophyta; Magnoliopsida; Poales; Bromeliaceae
Description: long non-coding RNA (ACOM_LNC036925)
Source: RNAcentral